GCUCUGUUUACUGAAACUGUUCCUCUUUUUACAGGCAGCAAAUACAGCACUAUACCAACCAGCUUGCUAAAGAAACCAACAGGCAUCUUAAAGAGUUGGGCUCAGUCCCUUUGGCAUCAUCACCCUCAGAACAAAGGCAACAAAGGAUCCAAAGGGACCGGCUUAUGAAUGACUUUUCCGCAGCGCUCAACAACUUCCAAGCUGUCCAGCGACGUGCAGCAGAAAAAGAGAGGGAAUCAAUAGCAAGAGCAAGGGCUGGUUCCUGUCUAUCAAAUGAAGACCGUUUUCGGGAUGAAAAGCUUGUCUCCUUUGAUAACCAAGAGGACCUUGGUCCAAUAACCACCCAGACAGAAGAAAUGGCCAUUACAGAGGAAGAUCUGGAGCUCAUCAAGGAGAGAGAAACCAAUAUCAGACAGCUUGAGGUGAGCAUUUGCUUACUGUUGCUUGAUAUACAAU
Molecule: long non-coding RNA, 456 nt
Organism: Poecilia latipinna (sailfin molly)
Lineage: Eukaryota; Metazoa; Chordata; Actinopteri; Cyprinodontiformes; Poeciliidae
Exons: 4
Source: RefSeq, a predicted model, not a curated record